ACGCUCGACACCUACGGUAGGCAGCAGUGGGGAAUAUUGCACAAUGGGGGAAACCCUGAUGCAGCGACGCCGCGUGGAGGAAGAAGGUCUUCGGAUUGUAAACUCCUGUUGUUGGGGAAAAAGAGGAUGGUACCCAACAAGGAAGUGACGGCUAACUACGUGCCGGCAGCCGCGGUAAUCUGAGCGGGCUGGCAAGGC
This 198-nucleotide ribosomal RNA is filed under the name uncultured bacterium. RNAcentral describes it as "partial 16S ribosomal RNA". It matches the Rfam family "Bacterial small subunit ribosomal RNA", at positions 326 to 539 of the family's 1533-position model. The record is from RNAcentral.